RNAcentral lists this ribosomal RNA (427 nucleotides) under uncultured bacterium. Its description in RNAcentral is "partial 16S ribosomal RNA". It matches the Rfam family "Bacterial small subunit ribosomal RNA", at positions 355 to 774 of the family's 1533-position model. The record is from RNAcentral.
UGGGGAAUAUUGCACAAUGGGCGCAAGCCUGAUGCAGCCAUGUCGCGUGUAUGAAGAAGGCCUUCGGGUUGUAAAGUACUUUCAGCGGGGAGGAAGGUGUUGAGGUUAAUAACCUCAGCAAUUGACGUUACCCGCAGAAGAAGCACCGGCUAACUCCGUGCCAGCAGCCGCGGUAAUACGGAGGGUGCAAGCGUUAAUCGGAAUUACUGGGCGUAAAGCGCACGCAGGCGGUUUGUCAAGUCGGAUGUGAAAUCCCCGGGCUCAACCUGGGAACUGCAUUCGAAACUGGCAGGCUAGAGUCUUGUAGAGGGGGGUAGAAUUCCAGGUGUAGCGGUGAAAUGCGUAGAGAUCUGGAGGAAUACCGGUGGCGAAGGCGGCCCCCUGGACAAAGACUGACGCUCAGGUGCGAAAGCGUGGGGAGCAAACA